Phyllostomus hastatus (greater spear-nosed bat) is the source of this 1347-nucleotide long non-coding RNA. RefSeq lists it as uncharacterized. NCBI's taxonomy places the organism in Eukaryota, Metazoa, Chordata, Mammalia, Chiroptera, Phyllostomidae. The transcript is spliced from 4 exons. The record is from RefSeq and is a predicted model, not a curated record.
UGGGUGCUGGCAAUGUCCUUUCCUUGACCUGGGGGGUUGUUGAGGGAGUUCCAGUUAAUAAUAAUCCACUGAACUAUACACUGAUGUUUAGCACACUUGAAAAAUGUGUGCUAUUUUUCACAAUGCUUUAUUUUUAAUUGAAAAUUCAGCAAGAACAAAGUAUUGGGGUGUUGAGGAGGGUGGCUUGUCGGGUAGCCAAGAAGUGCCUGCCACAGGGGACAGAGCUUACCCAGUCGGGCAGAAGCGGAAGAGAUUUCUAUCCGGAGACAGCAGCAGGUCACAGUCGCAGGCGUUCAGGAGAAUGUGGUGAACCCGAGGAGCUGGAAGGUGACCAGCCCCGUUUUGCAGGGGCUUAGAGAGCAAGUGGAAAGAGGUACCCCAAGGAGUUCGUUUCUGAGCAAGCCAAACUUAUGGCACCUAAGAGACUUCCAAAGGUCCUAACAGGCCACUGGUCUCAAGUGCAGAAGCACAUUCGGAAGAGAAGAAGGGAGCGGAACAUCGAUCUGAUGCUCCACUUAUUUAUGAAUCAUUGGUGGAUUCUUAUUUGUGCCCCGACCUGGGAUGGAACUCAUAACACUGGUGUAUGGAGCGGUGCUCUAACCAAUUACUCAGCCAGAGAAUUUGUUCAUGUAACUUUUCUUUUGCAAUCCUUCACAGGAGCUUCUUGCCAGGCACUCUCCGAAUUGGCCUCCCAUGUACCUGCCUGGCCAGCUGCCGACUAGACUUUGUAAAAGACACAUCUGAACACAUCCUCUGCCUGAAACCGCUGGUGCCCCUCGCGGGCAGAGGCGCCAAGAUCCACUUUAAUAACUGUGGGUGGAUGAGCUGUUCCUGAUGAGCUGCUUAUCUCUGCAGCUACAUCUCAGAGGAUCACCGCUGGAGUGAAGCCCUUUCAGCCUCUGUGCUUCUGCAGGAGCUGUUGCCGCUGCCUGGGUGGUACCUGCCCCUUGCACCUUCUACUUCUCUCCUGGAGAAGCUCCGACCUCAACGUGAGGCCUUCCCCAGCGCUCCCCGACUGCCCCCAGCCCUAACUGCCACUUCUGGGCGCUCAGGAUACAGGCACUUCCGUGGCAGCGCUGCACCCCACCACUUACCACACCUGCUAGGUCCCUGGAAUGUGAGCAAUCUGACAAGCACAGUGGACAUUGAUAGUUCAAAUAGGUGGAUUUUGAAAUAACCAAUGCAUGGACUUCAAAGAUCAAAAGUUAAGGUUAAAAAGUCAGCCCUGGUUGGUGCGGCUCAGUGGAUUGAGCAUGGGCCUGCAAACCAAAGGGUCCCUGGUUCGAUUCCCAGUCAGGGCACCUGCCUGGGUUGUGGGCCAGGUUUGCCCGUGUGGGGCACUGGAGA